Long non-coding RNA from Tigriopus californicus, 468 nucleotides. RefSeq lists it as uncharacterized. The record is from RefSeq and is a predicted model, not a curated record. Lineage: Eukaryota; Metazoa; Arthropoda; Copepoda; Harpacticoida; Harpacticidae. The transcript is spliced from 3 exons.
AAAAAGGAUCCCCCGGAAGCAAUCCUCCUUCACCAAUCAAGUGAAGUGUGAGUCAACGGAAACCGAUCCACAUUUCUUGAGGUGACAUGCGGAAUUGCUGUCAUUGGACAAUGAACUUGUGGUUGGACACGCACACAAGGUACGCGAGGCCCCCAGGAUCCGAGGAUUCAAAGAGGAGGGAGAGGCAGGCGGGAAAGAGCCUUUCCGAUCGGGCGGCCUUUCUUUCUCUUCUGGGACGAGAACAGCUCCUCUUCCUUCACGGGGAGAACCGUCCAGUACGUAGACGGAGAGUAAUUUAUUAAAGGGGGACCACUCUGGUAUGAGGACCAGAACCUGGCGAUGACGAACGGUUUUAUUAGUUGGCCAAAGGUCGAUGGCGGAUUAGUCAAGUCUGGCCUAGAGCGGCAAAUUCAAAAGUACAGGAUGAGCAAAUAUUCCAUAAAGCAUGGCACAGCUGUAAGGCCAACA